RNAcentral lists this ribosomal RNA (941 nucleotides) under uncultured bacterium. Its description in RNAcentral is "bacterial SSU rRNA". It matches the Rfam family "Bacterial small subunit ribosomal RNA", at positions 502 to 1444 of the family's 1533-position model. The record is from RNAcentral.
UACGUNCCAGCAGCCGCGGUAAUACGUAGGUCCCGAGCGUUNUCCGGAUUUAUUGGGCGUAAAGCGAGCGCAGGCGGUUAGAUAAGUNUGAAGUUAAAGGCUGUGGCUUAACCAUAGUACGCUUUGGAAACUGUUUAACUUGAGUGCAGAAGGGGAGAGUGGAAUUCCAUGUGUAGCGGUGAAAUGCGUAGAUAUAUGGAGGAACACCGGUGGCGAAAGCGGCUCUCUGGUCUGUAACUGACGCUGAGGCUCGAAAGCGUGGGGAGCGAACAGGAUUAGAUACCCUGGUAGUNCACGCCGUAAACGAUGAGUGCUAGGUGUUAGGCCCUUUCCGGGGCUUAGUGCCGCAGCUAACGCAUUAAGCACUCCGCCUGGGGAGUACGACCGCAAGGUUGAAACUCAAGGGAAUUGACGGGGGCCCGCACAAGCGGUGGAGCAUGUGGUUUAAUUCGAAGCAACGCGAAGAACCUUACCAGGUCUUGACAUCCCGAUGCCCGCUCUAGAGUUAGAGUUUUACUUCGGUACAUCGGUGACAGGUGGUGCAUGGUUGUCGUCAGCUCGUGUCGUGAGAUGUUGGGUUAAGUCCCGCAACGAGCGCAACCCUUAUUGUUAGUUGCCAUCAUUCAGUUGGGCACUCUAGCGAGACUGCCGGUAAUAAACCGGAGGAAGGUGGGGAUGACGUCAAAUCAUCAUGCCCCUUAUGACCUGGGCUACACACGUGCUACAAUGGCUGGUACAACGAGUCGCAAGUCGGUGACGGCAAGCUAAUCUCUUAAAGCCAGUCUCAGUUCGGAUUGUAGGCUGCAACUCGCCUACAUGAAGUCGGAAUCGCUAGUAAUCGCGGAUCAGCACGCCGCGGUGAAUACGUUCCCGGGCCUUGUACACACCGCCCGUCACACCACGAGAGUUUGUAACACCCGAAGUCGGUGAGGUAACCUUUU